This 253-nucleotide ribosomal RNA is filed under the name uncultured bacterium. RNAcentral's name for it is "partial 16S ribosomal RNA". It matches the Rfam family "Bacterial small subunit ribosomal RNA", at positions 524 to 776 of the family's 1533-position model. The record is from RNAcentral.
UACGAAGGGGGCAAGCGUUGUUCGGAAUCACUGGGCGUAAAGCGCACGCAGGCGGAUUGAUAAGUCGGGGGUGAAAGCCCGGGGCUUAACCUCGGAAUUGCCUUCGAUACUGUCGGUCUCGAGUCCGGGAGAGGUGAGUGGAAUUCCUAGUGUAGAGGUGAAAUUCGUAGAUAUUAGGAAGAACACCGGUGGCGAAGGCGGCUCACUGGGCCGGUACUGACGCUCAGGUGCGAAAGCGUGGGGAGCAAACAGG